RNAcentral lists this long non-coding RNA (4416 nucleotides) under Sus scrofa (pig). RNAcentral describes it as "lncRNA (ENSSSCG00040027674.1)". The record is from RNAcentral. Lineage: Eukaryota; Metazoa; Chordata; Mammalia; Artiodactyla; Suidae.
CACCUGCAGCAUAUGGAAGUUCCCAGGCUAGGGGUUGAAUCAGAACUGCAGCUCCCAGCCUAUACCCCAGCCACAGCAAUGCCAGAUCUGAGCUGUGUCUGGGACCUGCACCACAGCUCACAGCAACACCAGAUCCUUAAGCCACUGAGCAAGGCCAGGGAUCGAACCUACAUCCUCAUGAAUACUAGUCAGAUUCGUUACCACUGAGCCACAACAGGAACUCCUAUUUGUGAUUCUUACUGAGGUGAAAAAAGGGGUUUGUGCCUUAGAGAAAUAUUUUCAGUAGCAUGGACAACUAAAAAAAAAAAAAAAAGGCAUGCUGGUUAACUUUCAGAAAACUGUUAGCCAGAAAUGCAUAGUUCUUCAAGAAUUCAAGUUCAGAUCCCCAAGUCAGGCCAGCUGUGUGGGUGGUCACAAGGGGAUUUCACAGGGUUAGAGGGUGCCUAUACCUACUGUGAGCUGUUUUCUGUUUUUCUGAAGAUUCAGGCCUGGAGUUCCCAUCGUGGCUCAGCAGAAACAAAGCCAACUAGGAACCAUGAGGUUGCAGGUUCGAUCCUUGGCCUCACUCUGUGGGUUAAGAAUCCGGUGUUGCCACGAGCUGUGGUGCAGAUUGCAGAUGUGGCUUGGAUCCUGCGUUGCUAUGGCUGUGGUGUAGGCCGGUGGCUGCAGCUCCAAUUAGACCCCUAGCCUGGGAACCUCCAUAUGCCGCGGGUGUGGCCCUAAAAAGACAAAAAAAAUAAAAAAUAAAAAAUAUUCGGGCCUUCAAAGGGAUGGGUGCUUUUAUAUAAGUUCUCUAUCUGCCUGCGAUACCGAAGACCAGCCUGCAGGUGCUCAGAAAGAAGUAAGACCUCAAAUUACUUAUCAACAACUCCUGGUAAAAAGCCCAACCAGAGAAAUUAUAUUUAGAGAGGAGAUUCUGGUGACACUCUGUUGGGCGUUCUAAAUUCUAUGCCCUGUCAAGCUAAACCCUGGAAGCGCUGGUCCCUCAGGAGCUUGGCAGGGCUGUCUUCACUAAACUGCAGUCCAAUACUAUGCCCUCAGCUGUCAUUAAGAUUUUUUGUGAAAACCACUCCUGCAUUUGUUGUACACUUGUGGCUGGGGAAAUUGUCCACUUUGUCAUUCAAGGUCACAUGUGAAAAUGUUGUUCUGGGAGUUUUCUUGUGGAGAAGUGAGCUAGGGAUCUGGCGUUGUCACUACAACAGCUUGAGUUGCUGCCAUGGCAUGGGAUGGAUCCUUGGCCUGAGAACUUCUGCAUGCAUGCCGAGGGUGCGGCCCCCAAAAAUGUUGUUCUGUGAUUUUUUUCCUCUUUCCCUUUUUACCUUGGCUGACAGGAAACUCAGAGACAUGAUGAUUAAUCAUUGAAAUUAGAUUAGCCUGCAGAAUUAGCAUAAUUUUUUUUUUUUUAGGGCCAAACCAAAGGCCUAUGAUAGUUCCCAGGCUAGGGGUCGAACUGGAGCUACAGCUGCUAGAAUAUACCACAACCAUAGCAAUACUAGAUCCAAGCCAUGUCUGCAACCCACAUCACAACUCACAGCAAUGCUGGAUUCUUAACCCACUGAGUGAGGCCAGGGAUCAAACCCACAACCUCAUGGAUACAAGUAAGGUUUGUUACCAGUGAGCCAGAAUGAGAACUCCCCAAAUUUUUAAUCCGAAUACACUUUAGUAAGCUAACUAUACCUAUAUCGAUACUUUUAUCUAUGUUAUCUAUGUCCUUCUUGGUAAAGCAGUUCAGAUUAUUUUGGGGGGGAAAUAAGCAGUAGAUAAGUAAAAAUAAAUGAAUGAAAAAAGUGUGAUAUUUAUAUAAAGCCCCAGCCUUUACCUUAAAUGGAGGCUGAAAACCACAAAACAAAACUAAUCCCCAAAGCACUUCUAUAUGGCCUGGGAAUCAAAUGCACUCGAGUGCACACAGUUUUACACACCUGUCACAUGCCCUAGAAUAUCCGCAGACACACACUCACUCACCAACCUGCACCCCUGCCCCGUCUCCUACACCUGAUUUGGCAAAAUCCACCCCUCGGCAUGCAGAUGGGUGAGCAGACACCUUGCUCACAGAGCCGGGGUGGAAAUGCCCUGUUUAGCGCGCAUCCUGCUCGCUCUCUGCCCGUGAUGACUGCCAUCCUCCGGCUGAUAUUCAGACUCGGGGACCCGACUCCUCUCCCAGUCACGCAGUCUUAGGCGGGAAACACACACAAGCCUUUGUAAACCUGCUGGGUGCUUAUAACUCUGUGCGCUGUCAUUUCCUGUACCUCCACUCCAUCCUGGCCCUUGUGUGCUUAGAUGCCUGGAUCUACAAGACUGAGGGGAGAUGGAGGCAGAGGGGUUAAGACCCUUCCGUAGAACACCCAGCCAAGACCAGGGCUGUCUGAUUCCACAGCCUGCACCUCUCCCCACUGAGCUCCUGACUCAGACCCGGGGCCAACCUAAGGUGACCGGGAUGGCGUGUGACCCCAGGGAGAUUUGACGCCCCAGCCUGCACCUGCUAGAUCACAGCCCCCUGUUAAAUCUCUUCCUUGAUGGGCACCCCUCAAACCUGAGGACAGGCGUGAAAGGCAAAUGACAAAGGUGGCAAGUGAGAGAGCGAGGUACGAGGUCCCUCAUUUCGAGGGGAUCUUUUGAAUAAGCCCUAAGGCGAGUGUUCCAGCAAAGUCCAGCUCUCCCCAGUCAGCCAGGGCCCAUGGGUACCCAUCUAAGGCAGGUGUUCCCAGCCUCAGCACUAAUGAGACUGUGGACCUGGGCAUCUUUUCCUGCAGUAGGUGCUCCUGUGCAUUGCAGCAUCCCUGGCCUCUACCCACCAGAUGCCAGCAGGACCUGCCAUUAGCUGUGACAGCCACAAACAUGCCCAAACAUUGCCAAAUGCCCCCUGCGAGCAAAAUCACACUAGACUGAACACUGCUGGUCUGGGGCCUCUGGGGAACCACUACAGAACAGGGUUUGGAAAAAGCAGAGGCUAUAGGAGGUGGGUUAGGGGUGUAGGACUGCUGAGCCAAGGGAAGCCAGGACCAAAAGAGGUUUUCACCGACCACUGCCUGGCCCCCAGUCCAUGGGAUGAGCUUACAGUCCCCCGCCCUGGGGCUGCAGAGAGAGACAUAAAUGAAUGGUACAGACCCUCCCAAUUUUCUGGUGUGUGACAGUUUGCACCCCCAUGCUUUGAGAUUUGGGACAAGCAGACCAAUCUGGGCUGAAGUUUGCCUUCUUCCUCAGCUGAAGGGAGAACCAGCAGAGCUGAGGAGCGUGUCAAGGGGACAGCCGAGGUGCGAGUUCCAGCCCCCUCCCCACAAGGACCAACUGUUUCCCAUCUUAGAGGCUUCUCCUCCCAGGAGCACUCAAGGUUCUGGAUGCAGAUGACAUUGACCCAGGAGAAAAGACCCAAAAGACCUUCAGGCACACACGUCAUACGUCACAGAGGACAGCUGCGGAAAAACUGGAUAAUCUGGCUCUCUCAGGAUCUCAGAGCAUCCUGCCAUGCCCAGAGUGUGUGGGCCUUAACAAGUGAGGCUGGGAGGUGUGCCUGAUGGAGAAAAGCUAGCAUCCUAUGCCCCCUCCCGCAGCAAGGCCCCCACCCCCUGGAAGCUGGCCUGGAGGUCAAGGCACUCAGGGGUCUGCGGGGAUUGGGUCCUGGGCAGCUACAUGGGCUUGUGGGCAGAACCAGGACUUAAGCAGCCCCAGCUCCUCCUGCGAAGCCUGAUCCUCACCCCUUCUACCCCCAGAUGCAGACCUCAGGAUUGAAAAAAAACAAGAUCAAUUUUGAAAAGUCACACCAGAGUCUUGAAACCCACUGGCUUUGGAGAGAUCCUGCCACCUUGCUCUCUGUCUCCUUGCUCCGGGGGUGCGGUCCUCAGCCCCACAGCAGCAGGGAUUCCCCGGAGCUGGUUAGACAUGCAGAUUCCUGGGCCCCAUCCAGAGCAUCUGAAGCCCAGUCUGCAUAUUAGCAAACUCCUUGGGUGAUCUGGGGCCCAGUAAUAUCUGAGGGGUGCUGCCUCCCCCAGAGCAGCCGCUCACAGUAAAAGUGCCCUUUAAUUUCACAGCCCCUCCUCCUGUGAUCCCACAUAUCCACCCUCAUCUUAAGGAGAUGCCACACACCCUCGCAGCCUUGCUCCCACAGUCCCGUGUACCCAACAGCCAAGAAGACCUCUGACUUGCCCGCCCCUCUCCAUCUCUCCUACUAGAAUUGCUUUGAAUUACACCUGUUCUAUCCUCAGCACCUCAGGGCUUCAAUAGCACUUCAUUGGCUUAAUGACAAUGAGUCACUGGCUGUUUUUGGGCUUAAUUGUGGCUGUUUCAAUAAACCCAAGACCUUUAUUGAGGCUUUUAUCUGUAGGGGUAGCAGCAAGGACUGGUCCCGGGGCACAGAGCCGGCAGGGAAGUCGGCUGAGCUGAGAGAGUGGGUGGCCCUUGUCUCCUGACAUUUGCUCCUGG